RNAcentral lists this ribosomal RNA (465 nucleotides) under uncultured bacterium. RNAcentral's name for it is "partial 16S ribosomal RNA". It matches the Rfam family "Bacterial small subunit ribosomal RNA", at positions 28 to 507 of the family's 1533-position model. The record is from RNAcentral.
GACGAACGCUGGCGGCGUGCUUAACACAUGCAAGUCGAACGGAAAGGCCCUGCUUGCCGGGUACUCGAGUGGCGAACGGGUGAGUAACACGUGGGUGAUCUGCCCUGCACUUCGGGAUAAGCCUGGGAAACUGGGUCUAAUACCGGAUAGGAGCCAUUUUUAGUGUGAUGGUUGGAAAGUUUUUUCGGUGUAGGAUGAGCUCGCGGCCUAUCAGCUUGUUGGUGGGGUAAUGGCCUACCAAGGCGGCGACGGGUAGCCGGCCUGAGAGGGUGGACGGCCACAUUGGGACUGAGAUACGGCCCAGACUCCUACGGGAGGCAGCGGUGGGGAAUAGUGCACAAUGGGCGCAAGCCUGAUGCAGCGACGCCGCGUGGGGGAUGACGGCCUUCGGGUUGUAAACUCCUUUCGCUAGGGACGAAGCUUUUUGUGACGGUACCUAGAUAAGAAGCACCGGCUAACUACGUG